This is a long non-coding RNA of Leptidea sinapis, 4134 nucleotides long. RefSeq lists it as uncharacterized. The record is from RefSeq and is a predicted model, not a curated record. Lineage: Eukaryota; Metazoa; Arthropoda; Insecta; Lepidoptera; Pieridae. The transcript is spliced from 4 exons.
ACGUAGAAUAAUAAUAAUUAUUCUCUUUGGUGAAAUGAGAAAAUAUAAAUUUUGUGUCUAACAUACUGCAUACCUACAUAAUACAAAUUUUAUUUAGAGCGUUUAUAUUUGUUACCUACUUCAUUAUAUAUUUUUUUUGUAGAAGUAUAUAAAAUGAUAUCAACAUAGUUUUAUGUUAACGCCAGAAACACAAUAUUUGUAAAUUAUGGUUCAUUGUUGUAUCUUGGGCUGCCGUAGUCGCAGUCCUAGUGAGGGAAGACAACAACAGAUUUUAUAUACAUUUCACAAAUUUCCCAAGACUGAAAUGCGUGAAUUAUGGAUUAAGGCAACUGGUAGAACUGAUUGGGAACCAAAUAAAUAUAGUAGUAUUUGUUCAAAGCACUUUGACAUUAAGGAUGUUAAAAAAGUAGGACGUUUUACACAUCUCAGUCCUGUCGCAAUUCCAAAAUUGUUUGUGCAUCCCUUGGAAGAAUCUCCUACAUCAUCAACAGAAGAAUGUUGCGAUGACUUUCAAACAGAGCUAAAAGAUGAUCAAAAUCCUCAAGACUUACCUGUUCCUGAUAAUGAAGUCCAAGACAAGAUUAGAUAUAAACCCGUUCCAAUACAUAAGAAGAAAUCAAUUAGUUCCAAAACGAAACGAAAGAAUAUAGCACUGAAAGCCCACAAUUGGCGCUUCACAAACAAAAAUGCAGAACUACUUACAAUUAUCGAAAAUAUACAAUCAAGAUUAACAAAUCACAACCACAAUAAAGACUCACCGGUAACGAAUGAUGUAGAAAAUGACAAAAGUGCUGGUAGCGAUACAAGUUAAGCUUGAAAAUGAUCCUGUGGGAUUUUUGAUUUGUGUCAAUAAGAACUCUAUCUGGAUACUUUAAUAUCUCCAAGCCUUCGUAUCUGUUCAACCUGGACCAUAAGCCAUGUAGUACUUUGCUUUGUUACUGUAUUAAGGCCUUGAAAACAAUUGGCUUUGUCGUUGAUUUAAACUUUCACUUAGUACACCAAUGUUUUGUACGGUGGCAGCUUUUUGAUUGUUAUUGAAUCGGCUGCAAGCAUGCGGUGCACAAAAGAUCUUUAGGCAGUUUAUAAGUUAAGUAAGCCUAAGUAUUGUAUGAAUUAUCAUACACUACUACUUUUAUAUGCUGCUUUCACUGAAGGUGAUAAACACAGAGUCGUCAAAUAUUUUCUUGAAGUGAAAACUUCUUUUAGCGUGGUACACAUAUUUUUAGAUGAGAUAAAAUCUCUGGACUCGCGACACCGUUACGAGACGCAGCUGUAGUCUGUGCAUAAUAUAUGCAUGUAUAUAAUAUAGCAGACCGCGAACUCGUGUAGAUAAAAAAAAUGUAGAUAUAUUAUUGUUAUUUAUUUCCUAUUUUAGUUACCAUGAACCUUUAGUUUCUAUUUUAGAUUGUAAUAACUUUAAUAAUGAUGAUAUAAGAGUUGUCGAAAUGGUUAACAAUGAUUCAUAAAAUAAUAUUAAAUGUAUUUUAAAGUUUCUAAUAAUAAAUAAAAUGAAAUUCAUAACCCUAGUACCCAUCUAAAAAAUAUCUAACGUGCCAAAAUAAGUUUUCACUUCUAUACGAUAAAUGGCAACUUUCGGAUCUAUUGCAUUCUUUAGCAAUCUGUGUUAAAGCACCUUCUGUAGAGCUACCGAAGAUUUAGUGAUUUCCAAUGAAAAUUUUAUCAGAUUUCUUUCUAUAAAUAUCUCUCCUCAACAGUGUAAAAAGUCCGCAAAGAAUAACACAAUGAUUGGUAUAAACGUUUGGCGUAAAGUGAUUUGUAAUAAUUUUGUAAAAAAAUAUACAUAACGCACUUUUCCGUUUAACAGCCCUUGGACCAUCUGCUAUUACUGCCUAUUUUCAUUAUAAACAUUGUUGACAUUUUUUUUUUUUUUAAUGGAAUAGGAGGACAAACGAGCGAAGGAUAAACGAGCUAUUCUCUUGCAACACAAGAGGAAUCACAACAGCGUUGCCGGCCUUUAAGGAAGGUAUAAUAUGUGACCAAUUAUGAUUCGUAAAUGUGUGGUAGUUGUUGGUUAGAGCUAGUGUAAUAUUCAAAAUACUAGGGAGGUAAUUCAACGCGUGGCUGACUGUUUACGACUUGUUAAUCAAAAUAGGUUACAGUAACAAUAGAUUCGCUCUCUUUUUCUAUCUUGCUCUAUCUCAGUGUUUCCCAAAGAUUGUGGUAAUUUUUUUCUUGCUUGCCUUUGACUUGCUUUAAACCCAAGCUGGUUCUUUUAGGUAAAAUUAUAAUCAUCCAUUAGGUAUACUAAAUUAUAAAUUGGUAUCGCUUUAGUAACUAUAUUUUUGUGCGAAGUAUGGAGCACCUGCUUAUUUUUUACUAAAGCAUACAAGUUCGCUGAAAAUGACAAAAGUUUUAUCCUUUGGUAUUUAAAAAAAAGGCGGGAAUGUUGCGACCCGGUAUUUCAUUUUGAACCAGUACCGGGUCGCGACCCGACAAAUUGAAAACGCUGCCUAUCUCCUUUAGAGAUUCGCUCGCACUUCUCGCACGCCUUGUUUGCCUAUAGGCUAGUAUAGGUCUUUGGUCCACACUACCAAUUAGUGGAACCCAUGCUUGUUCAGUGAUGGCCGACAUAAAUAUAAAAACAAAGGUAGUAAGACAUGAGUAGUGUAACACUAUCUAAAAAUGUCUUCUUUCUGAAAUACUUUGGAUAUUUUUACAAGUUUUUGUGACUCAAAAUAAGUUUCUUUGGCGAAUAUUCUUCAUUACUUAGAUGAAAAAAAAGUUUCGGCGAUUUUUGUGAAAUUUAUAUGGUUUAAGAAAGUGUAUAUAGUAUUUUAUUGUAAACAUUAAUUUAUUACACUGAAAGUGGCGUAAAGUAUUUUAGGUAAAAAAUAAACUAUUCACCCCGGUAUGGACUUUAAGCGGAGUUUCUAAAUGCGCGGAAGUAAAAAAUAGGGUCUCAAUGGCGGAAGGUGAGGGGGGGCGAAAUGCGUGAAACCCAUAUAUUCGAUGUAUGAAGUUUUUUUAAUUUACUAUAGCUUGAAGGUACGUACCUAUCGAUUUAGGAAUACUGUGUGGCUGUGGAAAGUAUGAAGGUGAAACGCAGCCGUGGAAAGACAGAAAUCUACGUGGAUUGGAUUUAAUUUAGAAUUUCGAGGUAGUCUUACGCAGUGCCGGAUAGCAAGCGCGGGGCUUUUAACAAAUUCCUUGUUAGAGGCCUUGAUUUGUUCAGGAAAUUGCACGUUGCUUUCUUAUGUCAGAGGAAGAUACUGAUGGGAUGUUUUUUUGGCGGACCCUACUCAGAACACCAAGUGUUUAUUGCUAAUAAUAUUUUUACCAUUAAAACCUUUUAAGCAUAAAGGUAGUUUCUAUAGUAUAUUUCAUUUAAUAAUAUAGGUACUUUUUUUCAUAUUCAAAUAUUUAUAUUCAAAAAUAGGAUGUGAUAUAACUUAUUGAAAGUCCAAAACUACCACCCAUUCUAAAAAGAAUGCCUUAGACCUGACGAAUGGACGCAACAAACUCGGCGGUCUUUUUUCCAUCAAAAAAUAUGUUUACAAAUUAAUAUUGUACAAUUAACCUAAUUAUUUUAUAGCAAUCUGUGGAAUCCACCACCACCACCCACCUUCCUUACCUACUUAAAUUUUUCGUACUAAAUUAUUUAUUGCUUUUCGGACUUUAUUGCUUUGAUAAAUUUAUUCAGGCCGCCAUUAUUUUACGACGCCGCCGAAAAUUUCGGCAUCGGCACACAUAAUUAGUAAUAGUUACCUACCUAAUAUUGGUUAUUAAGUGGGUAGGCGAUGUAUUUAUUUUCUCAAAAUUGAUUCCUUUAGAAUUCUUUUUGUUGUCAUUUCUAAUAUACUAGACACUACUACCGCUUUGGAAACAAAUGGCGCUCUGAGAGAGUAGAAGCGGCGCAAGAAACUCUCAAAGUUUUAUUUAAGUAUAUUAACUUGUACAGGCAUUAGUUUCGUUUACUAUUCAAGAUCCAUGCCGGGGCCAAUUGUAUAAUUUUGUUCUUACUUGUCUUAACUAUAAGAAGCAAUAUGAAUAUAUGUAUUACUAACCGCAUAGCAGAAAUUUAUUUAUAAGUUAUUGUGAAGAUGUGGCGUGCCUUUCAUCACUUUAAAACAUUGUAAAUAUAAAAAUAUUUUAAUAUAGUUAUUGGUUGAUUGA